AACGAACGCUGGCGGCAUGCCUAACACAUGCAAGUCGAACGAGACCUUCGGGUCUAGUGGCGCACGGGUGCGUAACGCGUGGGAACCUGCCCUUAGGUUCGGAAUAACUCCCCGAAAGGGGUGCUAAUACCGGAUAAUGUCUUCGGACCAAAGAUUUAUCGCCUUUGGAUGGGCCCGCGUUGGAUUAGCUAGUUGGUAGGGUAAAAGCCUACCAAGGCGACGAUCCAUAGCUGGUCUGAGAGGAUGAUCAGCCACACUGGGACUGAGACACGGCCCAGACUCCUACGGGAGGGAGCAGUGGGGAAUAUUGGACAAUGGGCGAAAGGCUGAUCCAGCAAUGCCGCGUGAGGGAUGAAGGCCUUAGGGUUGGAAAGCUCUUUUACCCGGGAUGAUAAUGACAGUACCGGGAGAAUAAGCUCCGGCUAACUCCGGG
This 433-nucleotide ribosomal RNA is filed under the name uncultured bacterium. Its description in RNAcentral is "partial 16S ribosomal RNA". It matches the Rfam family "Bacterial small subunit ribosomal RNA", at positions 29 to 507 of the family's 1533-position model. The record is from RNAcentral.